GGGGACAGGAAGCAGGGUGGUCAAAGGAAGCGGCCCUGGCUAGUGCCAUGGGCCAUGAGACACCAGGCCGGACCUCUCUGCAUCUCAGUGCUCCUCUUUGUUCCGUGGGUGGUGACAGCUCCGUCCCACUUAGUACCACUGAGGACUUCAUCACGGAAGACCGUCAGUGAUGGUCCCGGUGAAUGAUGUCAUGGGCACUGGGGGCAGGGCAGUAAGACUAGCAGCAGGGAGUGAGUCUUGCUGCGUGUCUGGAUUCCAGGAUGCCCGUGCUGUUGGCUUUUCCCAUGAAGUUCUCAGCAAAGCAGGUGUAUUUGCCUUCAUCUGACCGACUGAUGUUCCUUAUGAUCAAGGUGCCAUCUGGAGUUACAGUCACUCUGCAGCACAGAGAGAGCAGCACAACGGCCUUGGGAGCUGCCCGGGGCUGACACGGGAUCAUGAUCUCUCCCCCACGAGCCGCGGGGAUCAGACGCCUUACGGGGUUCAGCCUGAAGUCAGGGGCCAGCGCUGGAAGGAAAGGAGAACACCCCAGGAGUCAUAACAGUACCCGUUGCCCUUGAUUAAGACGU
This is a long non-coding RNA of Manis pentadactyla (Chinese pangolin), 566 nucleotides long. RefSeq lists it as uncharacterized. The record is from RefSeq and is a predicted model, not a curated record. Lineage: Eukaryota; Metazoa; Chordata; Mammalia; Pholidota; Manidae. The transcript has 3 exons.